AGAGUUUGAUCAUGGCUCAGGACGAACGCUGGCGGCGUGCCUAAUGCAUGCAAGUCGAGCGGGCUACGAUCUUCGGAUUGUAGCUUAGCGGCGAACGGGUGAGUAACACGUAGGUAAUCUACCCUUCAGAGGAGGACAACCUCAGGAAACUGAGGCUAAACCUUCAUACGUUCACUGGUAGGGAUACUGGUGAAGAAAGAGUUACCUUAGUGGUAGCUGCUGAAGGAUGAGCCUGCGGCCCAUCAGGUAGUUGGUGAGGUAACGGCUCACCAAGCCGAAGACGGGUAACCGGUCUGAGAGGAUGUCCGGUCACACUGGGACUGAGACACGGCCCAGACUCCUACGGGAGGCAGCAGCAGGGAAUCUUGGGCAAUGGGCGAAAGCCUGACCCAGCGACGCCGCGUGGAGGAAGAAGUCCUUCGGGGCGUAAACUCCUGGACUGGGGGACGAGGAAGGACGGUACCCCAGUAGAAAGGGACGGCUAACUACGUGCCAGCAGCCGCGGUAAAACGUAGGUCCCGAGCGUUGUUCGGAUUCACUGGGUGUAAAGGGCGCGUAGGUGGUUGUCUGUGUCUCAUGUGAAAACUCAGGGCUCAACUCUGAGAUUGCGUGGGAAACUAGGCAGCUAGAGGACGGUAGAGGGGAGUGGAAUUCCCGGUGUAGCGGUAAAAUGCGUAGAUAUCGGGAGGAACACCGGUGGCGAAGGCGGCUCUCUGGGCCGAUCCUGACGCUGAGGCGCGAAAGCUAGGGGAGCGAACCGGAUUAGAUACCCGGGUAGUCCUAGCCGUAAACGAUGGGUGCUAGGUGUUGGGGGGUAAAGACCCUUCAGUGCCGAAGCCAACGCGAUAAGCAUCCCACCUGGGGAGUACGGCCGCAAGGUUGAAACUCAAUGAAUUGACGG
This 901-nucleotide ribosomal RNA is filed under the name uncultured bacterium. RNAcentral describes it as "bacterial SSU rRNA". It matches the Rfam family "Bacterial small subunit ribosomal RNA", at positions 8 to 916 of the family's 1533-position model. The record is from RNAcentral.